RNAcentral lists this ribosomal RNA (409 nucleotides) under uncultured bacterium. RNAcentral's name for it is "bacterial SSU rRNA". It matches the Rfam family "Bacterial small subunit ribosomal RNA", at positions 505 to 916 of the family's 1533-position model. The record is from RNAcentral.
UUGCCAGCCGCCGCGGUAAUACGGAGGGUGCAAGCGUUACCCGGAUUCAUUGGGUUUAAAGGGUGCGCAGGCGGAUACUUAAGUCAGUGGUGAAAUCCCGGGGCUCAACCCCGGAACUGCCAUUGAUACUGAAUAUCUGGAAUACGGUUGAAGUGGGCGGAAUGUAGCAUGUAGCGGUGAAAUGCAUAGAGAUGCUACAGAACACCGAUCGCGAAGGCAGCUCACUAAGCCGAUAUUGACGCUCAGGCACGAAAGCGUGGGGAGCGAACAGGAUUAGAUACCCUGGUAGUCCACGCCGUAAACGAUGAUAACUCGUUGUUGGCGACACACAGUCAGCGACUAAGCGAAAGCGAUAAGUUAUCCACCUGGGGAGUACGAUCGCAAGGUUGAAACUCAAAGGAAUAGACGG